UGCUGAUUUGCUGACGAGUGGCGGACGGGUGAGUAAUGUCUGGGAAACUGCCUGAUGGAGGGGGAUAACUACUGGAAACGGUAGCUAAUACCGCAUAACGUCGCAAGACCAAAGAGGGGGACCUUCGGGCCUCUUGCCAUCGGAUGUGCCCAGAUGGGAUUAGCUAGUAGGUGGGGUAACGGCUCACCUAGGCGACGAUCCCUAGCUGGUCUGAGAGGAUGACCAGCCACACUGGAACUGAGACACGGUCCAGACUCCUACGGGAGGCAGCAGUGGGGAAUAUUGCACAAUGGGCGCAAGCCUGAUGCAGCCAUGCCGCGUGUAUGAAGAAGGCCUUCGGGUUGUAAAGUACUUUCAGCGGGGAGGAAGGGAGUAAAGUUAAUACCUUUGCUCAUUGACGUUACCCGCAGAAGAAGCACCGGCUAACUCCGUGCCAGCAGCCGCGGUAAUACGGAGGGUGCAAGCGUUAAUCGGAAUUACUGGGCGUAAAGCGCACGCAGGCGGUUUGUUAAGUCAGAUGUGAAAUCCCCGGGCUCAACCUGGGAACUGCAUCUGAUACUGGCAAGCUUGAGUCUCGUAGAGGGGGGUAGAAUUCCAGGUGUAGCGGUGAAAUGCGUAGAGAUCUGGAGGAAUACCGGUGGCGAAGGCGGCCCCCUGGACGAAGACUGACGCUCAGGUGCGAAAGC
Molecule: ribosomal RNA, 686 nt
Filed under: uncultured bacterium
Lineage: Bacteria
Description: bacterial SSU rRNA
Rfam family: Bacterial small subunit ribosomal RNA
Source: RNAcentral